RNAcentral lists this ribosomal RNA (253 nucleotides) under uncultured bacterium. Its description in RNAcentral is "partial 16S ribosomal RNA". It matches the Rfam family "Bacterial small subunit ribosomal RNA", at positions 524 to 776 of the family's 1533-position model. The record is from RNAcentral.
GACAGAGGGUGCAAACGUUGUUCGGAAUUACUGGGCGUAAAGCGCGUGUAGGCAGCUCGGAAAGUCGGAUGUGAAAGCCCUGGGCUCAACCUAGGAAGUGCAUUCGAAACUUCCGAGCUGGAGUGCUGGAGAGGAAGGCGGAAUUCUCGGUGUAGAGGUGAAAUUCGUAGAUAUCGAGAGGAACACCGGUGGCGAAGGCGGCCUUCUGGACAGUUACUGACGCUGAGACGCGAAAGCUAGGGGAGCGAACAGG